Long non-coding RNA from Rosa chinensis, 1337 nucleotides. RefSeq lists it as uncharacterized. The record is from RefSeq and is a predicted model, not a curated record. The transcript has 5 exons. NCBI's taxonomy places the organism in Eukaryota, Viridiplantae, Streptophyta, Magnoliopsida, Rosales, Rosaceae.
UCACCGUCUUAUCAAAAAAACAAAAAAAAAACUGACUUCACAGCCAUGGCUUCUUCGACACCGCCAACGGCGUCUAUGCCGUCGCCUGGUCUGAACCUCCGUCCAGCUCUAAAACCUUGCCCUCUCGCCGACCUGCAACCUCCUCCGCUCCCUCCACGAGCACACGCGCGAGGUUAGCUCCUCUGACUACAACCCCACGCACCGCUACUCGUUUCUCACAAGUCACGUGGGACAACACCGUGAAGCUCUGGACCGUUGACUGCCCCGCCUCCGUCAGCAUUUUCAAGGAGCACGCCUACUGCGUCUACUCCAUCGUCUUUGGUGUGAAAAGCUCGGAAUCUCGUUCCAGUCGUCAAUGGAGGCCUCCAAGACCUCCAGUACAACCUUGAGGAAUGCUUUUGGUCCUAAAUCACUGAUAUUCACAAGUUUGAUCCUUAUUUCAAUUACAGAGUCACUCAGGUUGCUUCAACAAGAACUUUGACUGGUGACCUUUCCAAUCCAUUGUUGGUUAAACCUCUUCAACCAGUUGUUGCGCCAGUGGCUACAGUAGCUCAGAAAUCUGAAGCACCUGAUCAUCUUAAUAAUUUAGUUGGCGCUGGGUAUCAAUCAUUUGAGAAUGCUGUUUUGAAGAAACUUGCACAGUUUGCCCAGAAGCAAAAAAUAAUAUUCAGAACUUAAGAAGCAUGAAGGGAUGGGUGAUCUCAAAAGCAAAGUUCAUGAUCUCAAUGGUUUCAGUGUAUAGGGAAUUGCUGUGGAGUUUCUCUCUCAACUAUCUCAAGAUAGCGCAGAGGAAGAACUAUUGGUGUUAACAGUGUUGAAUAGUAGUGAACUCUAUAGACAUCCAUUUGAUUGGAGCCAAAUUGUUUUUGUUUUUUGGGUUAAGGAAGCAAAGGUUUCCUUGAAAGGAUUUUUGGACCUUAAAUUUCUCUAAUCGAAUAAACCGUUUUGUGAAAUUGUAUCAAUAGAGACUUACAGCCCCGGCUGAUAUCGGUUUGUUGUUGGAUAUGCAGGGAACUGCUGUGGAGUUUCUCUCUCAACUAUCUCAAGAUAGCGCAGAGGAAGAACUCUUGGUGUUAAUAGUGUUGAAUAGUAUUAGAUACUAGGCAUCAGUUCCAGUAAGGGUGGUUGUUCUAUACAUUUUAUAUUUCAUAUUUACAGAUGAAAUUCUAUCAGCCAUAACCAUUUGUACCGAGGGAGGUGACAUUUAGAGCCCCUUGCACAUUAUCAUUUUAGGCUUGUAAUUUGUAUCAAAUAACAAAUUACUGGUGUUUUCUUAUUUUAUCCAAAAAAAAAAAAGGUCUUGAUGCUCAUUAUGUUGGCGAUCAGGACUUGUGGGA